GACCGCGUAGCUCAGUUGGAAGAGCAUUGGGCUAGUAUUCCAAAGGUUGUAGGUUCGAAUCCCACCGUCGCCG
RNAcentral lists this transfer RNA (73 nucleotides) under Paramuricea clavata. It matches the Rfam family "tRNA". Rfam says of the family: Transfer RNA (tRNA) molecules are approximately 80 nucleotides in length. Their secondary structure includes four short double-helical elements and three loops (D, anti-codon, and T loops). The record is from Rfam by way of RNAcentral. Lineage: Eukaryota; Metazoa; Cnidaria; Anthozoa; Malacalcyonacea; Plexauridae.